This 468-nucleotide ribosomal RNA is filed under the name uncultured bacterium. RNAcentral's name for it is "partial 16S ribosomal RNA". It matches the Rfam family "Bacterial small subunit ribosomal RNA", at positions 28 to 507 of the family's 1533-position model. The record is from RNAcentral.
GACGAACGCUGGCGGCGUGCUUAACACAUGCAAGUCGAACGGAAAGGCCCUGCUUUUGUGGGGUGCUCGAGUGGCGAACGGGUGAGUAACACGUGAGUAACCUGCCCUUGACUUUGGGAUAACUUCAGGAAACUGGGGCUAAUACCGGAUAGGAGCUCCUGCUGCAUGGUGGGGGUCGGAAAGUUUCGGCGGUUGGGGAUGGACUCGCGGCUUAUCAGCUUGUUGGUGGGGUAGUGGCUUACCAAGGCUUUGACGGGUAGCCGGCCUGAGAGGGUGACCGGCCACCUUGGGACUGAGGUACGGCCCAGACUCCUACGGGAGGCAGCAGUGGGGAAUAUUGCACAAUGGGCGGAAGCCUGAUGCAGCAACGCCGCGUGCGGGAUGACGGCCUUCGGGUUGUGAACCGCUUUCGCCUGUGACGAAGCGUGAGUGACGGUAAUAGGUAAAGAAGCACCGGCUAACUACGUG